AUUGAACGCUGGCGGCAGGCUUAACACAUGCAAGUCGAGCGGAGCGUCGGACGGGUGAGGAAUGCCUAGGAAUCUGCCUGGUAUUGGGGGAUAACGUCCUGAAACGGGCGCUAAUACCGCAUACUAUCAGCAGAGCCUAGGUCGGAUUAGCGAGUUGGUGGGGUAAAGGCCUACCAAGGCGACGAUCCGUAACUGGUCUGAGAGGAUGAGCAGUAACACGGGACCUGUGACACGGUCCAGACUCCUACGGAAGGCAGAAGUGGGGAAUAUUGGACAAUGGGCGAAAGCCUGACGCAGACAGGCGGCGUGUUUGAAGAAGGUCUUGGGAUGGUAAAGCACUUUAAGUUGGGAGGCGUUACCAAAAGAAUAAGCACCGGCUAACUUCGUGCCAGCAGCCGCGGUAAUUC
RNAcentral lists this ribosomal RNA (407 nucleotides) under uncultured bacterium. RNAcentral's name for it is "partial 16S ribosomal RNA". It matches the Rfam family "Bacterial small subunit ribosomal RNA", at positions 30 to 526 of the family's 1533-position model. The record is from RNAcentral.